CUCCUACGGGAGGCAUUCAGUGGGGAAUAUUGGGCAAUGGGGGAAACCCUGACCCAGCAACGCCGCGUGAAGGAAGAAGGUUUUCGGAUCGUAAACUUCUAUCCCGGGUGAAGAUAAUGACGGUAGCCCGGAAGGAAGCCCCGGCUAACUACGUGCCAGCAGCCGCGGUAAUACGUAGGGGGCAAGCGUUGUCCGGAAUGAUUGGGCGUAAAGGGCGCGUAGGCGGCCAACUAAGUCUGGAGUGAAAGUCCUGCUUUUAAGGUGGGAAUUGCUUUGGAAACUGGAUGGCUUGAGUGCAGGAGAGGUUAGCGGAAUUCCCGGUGUAGCGGUGAAAUGCGUAGAGAUCGGGAGGAACACCAGUGGCGAAGGCGGCUAACUGGACUGUAACUGACGCUGAGGCGCGAAAGUGUGGGGAGCAAACAGGAUUAGAUACCCUGGUAGUCCACACUGUAAACGAUGAAUGCUAGGUGUAGGGGGUAUCGACCCCUUCUGUGCCGGAGUAAACACAAUAAGCAUUCCGCCUGGGGAGUACGGCCGCAAGGUUGAAACUCAAAGAAAUUGACGGGGGCCCGCACAAGCAGCGGAGCAUGUGGUUUAAUUCGAAGCAACGCGAAGAACCUUACCAGGUCUUGACAUCCAGGUAAAGCUGUAGAGAUACAGUGUGUGCUUGCACAAUCUGAGACAGGUGGUGCAUGGUUGUCGUCAGCUCGUGUCGUGAGAUGUUGGGUUAAGUCCCGCAACGAGCGCAACCCUUGUGAUCAGUUACUAACACGUAGAGGUGAGGACUCUGAUAAGACUGCCGGGGACAACUCGGAGGAAGGUGGGGACGACGUCAAAUCAUCAUGCCCCUUAUGACCUGGGCUACACACGUGCUACAAUGGCCACUACAGAGAGAAGCGAAUUCGAGAGGAAGAGCGGAUCUCAAAAAAGUGGUCCCAGUUCGGAUUGUGGGCUGCAACCCGCCCACAUGAAGUCGGAGUUGCUAGUAAUCGCGGAUCAGCAUGCCGCGGUGAAUACGUUCCCGGGCCUUGUACACACCGCCCGU
Molecule: ribosomal RNA, 1045 nt
Filed under: uncultured bacterium
Lineage: Bacteria
Description: bacterial SSU rRNA
Rfam family: Bacterial small subunit ribosomal RNA
Source: RNAcentral